This 1163-nucleotide long non-coding RNA is filed under the name Parus major (Great Tit). RNAcentral describes it as "lncRNA (ENSPMJG00000005410.1)". Lineage: Eukaryota; Metazoa; Chordata; Aves; Passeriformes; Paridae. The record is from RNAcentral.
CUAUGACUGGCCUCUAUAUCUGCUUUUGCAUGAAAGGCUCUGUACAAAACCCAAAUAUUGGGUGAUGGGAGUGGAGAAAGAAGAGUACCCUUCUGGAUGUCUUUGCUUUUGUGACAUUCAGCUUCUGUUUUAUUUCCUGAGGUCACAGACUGCACAGACUGAAGCACAGCCAAAAGGGUGAAAUGCAGAGGAUGAAGCUGACACAGAGGUAUUCUGCAACAAGAAGUCAAGUGGACAUAGAGUGACGGCCAUGUGGUGCUUUGGUGCCACGCUGGGCCUGGAGGGGAGAGGUCACACAACCUGGACUGGUCAAUCACGGGCUGUGGAAAACAGGAAAUCAACUGAGGAUUAUCCCUAUGAGAGCCACGUGCAGUUGGUUCACAGCUCUUUCACUGCAGAAGAGGCAAGAAGUGUGCCUUGGAGGUGAUGUCCAGAGUUACAGAUUAAUUAACCUUGGAUGGCAGCACUUACAGCAGCACUUAUGGCAGUCUCCAAGUACCUCAGGUCAUCGUUUGCUGUGUUGGUACUCCUGGACAAGAGAAAACUGCCUCCAAAUUCCUCAGAAUAUCUAGACCACCUCAGAAAACUGCUUGAGUUUAACACACAUUCUUAUUUUAUAAUGAGAGUAAAUAAAUAUUUUCCUUCUGAGCAAGGAGUAGAAAUUAUCAAAUGUCUGUUUUCUAGAUGAAAUUAAAUGCAUAGUAGUACCUGUUUAGAUGCAUAGGCCCCUCAGCUGUUAAAUAUGAAAACCCUUGUUUGGAUGAGUGGGUUUCCCCUUUCUGCUACUGAAGACCUUGCCCCAAACUCUUUACUCCCAGGAAAGUGUGUGUCCCUGACAUCUUUUUUUCCUCUCGUGCCUCUUUUUUUUCAGGAGGCAGAGCCAUUGUUAAUUCCUAUGUGAGAAUUUAUUACACUUCCAGAACAGUUUUUGAGAUUUUAGCCCAUUUAUGCUCCCCAACAGCUCUGUUUGGCAGUCUGUGGGUUUCACAAUGCUGAAGAGAAGGUUGACCCUUGUGACAUAAUAUUUUGUCCAAUACAUAAUAAUGUUUUGGGAGGUAUUUUGUUCCAAAUUCAUAAUUUUACAAACAUUAAAAUAAUUUUCAAAUGUAUCCUGAAUUUAGCAAACACUUUAAGCUGAAAUCAUAGAUGAAAACUGCUUGAGC